This 139-nucleotide small nucleolar RNA is filed under the name Ornithorhynchus anatinus (platypus). Lineage: Eukaryota; Metazoa; Chordata; Mammalia; Monotremata; Ornithorhynchidae. The record is from RNAcentral.
CCCCUCUCAGGAUGGCACCUGAAGAGUUUCCAGUACUCUACCGGCCUUGGCUACAGAAGGGAGAGUCAAAGCAGAGGCAUACCCAUUCCGUUCCUAGCUUGGGCCGUGGCUAGCGAGUGGAAGGCCAUCUGCUACAAGU